Molecule: ribosomal RNA, 497 nt
Filed under: uncultured bacterium
Lineage: Bacteria
Description: partial 16S ribosomal RNA
Rfam family: Bacterial small subunit ribosomal RNA
Source: RNAcentral
GAUGAACGCUGGCGGCGUGCCUAAUACAUGCAAGUCGAGCGAACGGACGAGAAGCUUGCUUUUCUGAUGUUAGCGGCGGACGGUUGAGUAACACGUGGAUAACCUACCUAUAAGACUGGGAUAACUUCGGGAAACCGGAGCUAAUACCGGAUAAUAUUUUGAACCGCAUGGUUCAAAAGUGAAAGACGGUCUUGCUGUCACUUAUAGAUGGAUCCGCGCUGCAUUAGCUAGUUGGUAAGGUAACGGCUUACCAAGGCAACGAUGCAUAGCCGACCUGAGAGGGUGAUCGGCCACACUGGAACUGAGACACGGUCCAGACUCCUACGGGAGGCAGCAGUAGGGAAUCUUCCGCAAUGGGCGAAAGCCUGACGGAGCAACGCCGCGUGAGUGAUGAAGGUCUUCGGAUCGUAAAACUCUGUUAUUAGGGAAGAACAUAUGUGUAAGUAACUGUGCACAUCUUGACGGUACCUAAUCAGAAAGCCACGGCUAACUACGUG